UACAGAGGUCCCAAGCGUUGUUCGGAUUUACUGGGCGUAAAGGGUGCGUAGGUGGCGGGGUAAGUCUGGUGUGAAAGCUCCGAGCUCAACUCGGAAAAGCAUUGGAAACUAUCCCGCUGGAGGGUCGGAGGGGAGACUGGAAUUCUCGGUGUAGCAGUGAAAUGCGUAGAUAUCGAGAGGAACACCAGUGGCGAAGGCGGGUCUCUGGACAGUUCCUGACGCUGAGGCACGAAGGUCAGGGGAGCAAACGGG
This 252-nucleotide ribosomal RNA is filed under the name uncultured bacterium. RNAcentral describes it as "partial 16S ribosomal RNA". It matches the Rfam family "Bacterial small subunit ribosomal RNA", at positions 524 to 776 of the family's 1533-position model. The record is from RNAcentral.